RNAcentral lists this transfer RNA (73 nucleotides) under Pachydactylus maraisi. Its description in RNAcentral is "tRNA-Trp". The record is from RNAcentral. Lineage: Eukaryota; Metazoa; Chordata; Lepidosauria; Squamata; Gekkonidae.
CUAAGAGACUUAGGUUAUUCACUAAACCAAGGACCUUCAAAGUCCUAAACAGGGCCACCACCCCUAGCCUCUG